GCUAACAGAAACCCAGCCCUGCCCACUGGGUGAAACUGCAAGUCGAGAGCGUGGGAAACCAGCAAGUUGAGAGAGGAUCCAGAAGUAACCCCUUCUAAAAUGGGAAAGAUGCCUUCCGAAAGCACUUGGCCCUAAAGAGAAAACACUAGGAGGAUGAGAACUGGGAACAGAGAAGCCACUUGCUCUGCAGCCAUUUGGGCCAACCCUAGCAGGCAGAGACACAAGCCGCUGGAUGUCGAGAGGAACACAUUGGUAGAGGAACUCACAGGUGGCUGGAUGUCGAGAGGAACACACUGGUGGAAGAGCACACGGACAGGCACCAGCAGACAACCGCACGCCAGCAGCCCGUCAACCAGCACAACGAUGUGGAGUUUGGCCGGGUCAGUCAGAGGGGAGUCCAGCUGCUGAGCAGCCCGACUCCAGGAAGAAAACACCUUCCCACUCCAUCUCCCUUCUGGCUCUCCCAUCUUCUGAGAGCUACUUCCAUUCAAUAAAACCUUGCACUCAUUCUCCAA
Macaca mulatta (Rhesus monkey) is the source of this 515-nucleotide non-coding RNA. NCBI's taxonomy places the organism in Eukaryota, Metazoa, Chordata, Mammalia, Primates, Cercopithecidae. The record is from RefSeq and is a predicted model, not a curated record.